This 457-nucleotide ribosomal RNA is filed under the name uncultured bacterium. Its description in RNAcentral is "partial 16S ribosomal RNA". It matches the Rfam family "Bacterial small subunit ribosomal RNA", at positions 28 to 523 of the family's 1533-position model. The record is from RNAcentral.
GAUGAACGCUGGCGGCGUGCCUAAUACAUGCAAGUCGUACGGAAAGGCCCUUCGGGGUACUCGAGUGGCGGACGGCUGAGUAACGCGUGGGAACGUGCCCCAAAGUGAGGGAUAACGCACCGAAAGGUGUGCUAAUACCGCAUAUGGUCUUCGGAUUAAAGCUUCGGCGCUUUGGGAGCGGCCCGCGUACGAUUAGAUAGUGGGUGAGGUAAUGGCUCACCAAGUCGACGAUGGUUAGCUGGUCUGAGAGGAUGAUCAGCCAGACUGGGACUGAGACACGGCCCAGACUCCUACGGGAGGCAGCAGUAAGGAAUCUUCCACAAUGGGGGCAACCCUGAUGGAGCAACGCCGCGUGCAGGAUGAAGGUUUUCGGAUCGUAAACUGCUUUUAUAAGUGAAGAAUAUGACGGUAACUUAUGAAUAAGGAUCGGCUAACUACGUGCCAGCCGCCGCGGUAU